CAGUAGCCGCGGGAAUACAGAGGGUGCAAGCGUUAAUCGGAAUUACUGGGCGUAAAGCGCGCGUAGGUGGUUUGUUAAGUUGGAUGUGAAAUCCCCGGGCUCAACCUGGGAACUGCAUCCAAAACUGGCAAGCUAGAGUAUGGUAGAGGGUGGUGGAAUUUCCUGUGUAGCGGUGAAAUGCGUAGAUAUAGGAAGGAACACCAGUGGCGAAGGCGACCACCUGGACUGAUACUGACACUGAGGUGCGAAAGCGUGGGGAGCAAACAGGAUUAGAUACCCGAGUAGUCCCUGUCUCUUAUAC
This 301-nucleotide ribosomal RNA is filed under the name uncultured bacterium. RNAcentral describes it as "partial 16S ribosomal RNA". It matches the Rfam family "Bacterial small subunit ribosomal RNA", at positions 509 to 807 of the family's 1533-position model. The record is from RNAcentral.